UGCCCAAGAGAUCGGGAUAACAUCUGGAAACAGAUGCUAAUACCGGAUAACAACAGAUGAUGCCUAUCAACUGUUUAAAAGAUGGUUCUGCUAUCACUCUUGGAUGGACCUGCGGUGCAUUAGCUAGUUGGUAGGGUAACGGCCUACCAAGGCGAUGAUGCAUAGCCGAGUUGAGAGACUGAUCGGCCACAUUGGGACUGAGAUACGGCCCAGACUCCUACGGGAGGCAGCAGCC
This 235-nucleotide ribosomal RNA is filed under the name uncultured Lactobacillus sp. RNAcentral describes it as "partial 16S ribosomal RNA". It matches the Rfam family "Bacterial small subunit ribosomal RNA", at positions 127 to 355 of the family's 1533-position model. The record is from RNAcentral. Lineage: Bacteria; Bacillati; Bacillota; Bacilli; Lactobacillales; Lactobacillaceae.